RNAcentral lists this transfer-messenger RNA (358 nucleotides) under bacterium. Its description in RNAcentral is "QQUE01 sp008501765 Standard tmRNA". It matches the Rfam family "transfer-messenger RNA". From Rfam's summary of the family: Bacterial tmRNA, also known as 10Sa RNA or SsrA, is named for its dual tRNA and mRNA-like properties. The record is from RNAcentral. RNAcentral also lists the same sequence under 1 other name.
GGGGACGACAUGGUUUCGACGGGGGAAUGAGAUUCGUGGAUUGCAUGUCGAGGUUGCUUGGCCCCUCGUAAAAUAGCUUGGCACUAAACUUUUAAAUGCAGAUGAUUAUUCAUACGCAAUGGCUGCCUAGUAAGUAGCCACGUUCUCAGGGGACGCCGCCACCGCGGCUUUUGAGAGCGACGAUAAGGGUGGCUGGUCUCUUUUACUGUCUGAGUUUGAGAGAUGAGAUUUUCAGGCUGGCUGAGAAACGGAUUUGUUUGUUGGACCGUGAUCAGUGAGAAUGAUCAAUAAACUAAGCAUGUAGAUGUCUGCGGCGCUUGUCCUUCGGACGCGGGUUCGAUUCCCGCCGUCUCCAUUU